Long non-coding RNA from Prunus persica (peach), 1170 nucleotides. RefSeq lists it as uncharacterized. NCBI's taxonomy places the organism in Eukaryota, Viridiplantae, Streptophyta, Magnoliopsida, Rosales, Rosaceae. The transcript has 3 exons. The record is from RefSeq and is a predicted model, not a curated record.
UGCCAAAACCAAAGGGCACUUGGUUUCUUGUUUGUUUUUUUGUUUGGAAUUGGUCAGUUCUGCCAUGAGUGAUGGUUUGGGAAAACCAAAAAAUCCAACAUAACUGCCAAUGCCAUCUCACUAAAUCAAAAGCAAGCAGGCAUCACAUGCGGUGUUUUUAAUUUCUAUGAAUGCCUACGUGCCGAAGUGAAAGAAAUAUAUGAGAGAUGUACUAUGAUUCACAUGUGACACCCAAUCACAAUCAUGCUACAGUAACAAGACGCAACGCACUUCAAUCUUAUAUAUUCAACCACCCCCUCACCCCUACUUCCCCACUGCCUCCAGAUCAAAACUCCCUCUCUCUCUCUCUCUCUCUCUCUCUCUCUCUCUCUUCAGCAAGCAACCAUCUUGAGAUGAAGGCCAUGAAAAAGAAAAAGAAAAAGAAGAGGCAUGAUAUCGUGGGUUAGCAGAAAGUUGGAAUGAGAGGAAUCGGUAAAAAGUGCAAACAACACGAUGCCAAAAGAAGAAACCUACAUGCAGCAACCAAACGGAGAAUGAUUGCACAGCAAACAACACGAUGCCAAAAGAAGAAACCUACAUGCAGCAACCAAACGGAGAAUGAUUGCACAGCAAACAACACGUGAGCAGAAGAUGUAGUUGCAGCUAAAGUAAUUAAAGAAGAACAACUGGAAAUAAACAAAAUAAAACAAAGAGCUUGUAGGCAUGUGAAGAUUGGCAGCAGUACAGAAGAAAGAGAAAAGCAAGAGCAUUGGCUCCCUUUGCUCUCUAUAAAUAGGGAACUCAAUAAGAGGAUGGGGAAAGAUGAGUGUGCAGAUUUUGGUGAAGACUUGGGCACCAAAUAGAGUUAGAGUUAGAGACCCUGGGGAUCCGAGAGGCAAGGAUCCGGGGGCAUCUACUAUUCUAGUUUUCCUUUUAAUUUCUCAAUUGUUGUAAUAAAAUUAGUUUGCUAGAUUUUCCUUUAUGUUUUUUUUUAGUUGUAUUUUAUUUUUCAUUGUCAUGUAAUUUCUUAUUCUUAAGUUUUCAAGUUUGAAUAGUUUCCAAGUUUCAAUUACGUUUCUUGUUCUUAUUUAUUAUGCUUAUAAGUUAAUAUGCUUGUUUGAAUGAUUGAUCACCAUUAAGACUUGUAUGUUAGCUACCUUGGUUGGAAUUAAGAGUAGACACCAUAUGCCU